Non-coding RNA from Arabis alpina (gray rockcress), 103 nucleotides. The record is from Rfam. NCBI's taxonomy places the organism in Eukaryota, Viridiplantae, Streptophyta, Magnoliopsida, Brassicales, Brassicaceae.
AUUCCCUCGGGGACAUCCGAUAAAAUUGGAACAAUACAAAGAAGAUUAGUAUGGCCUCUGGUCAACGAUGACACGCACAAAUCGAGAAAUGAUACAAAUUUUC